GACGAACGCUGGCGGCGUGCUUAACACAUGCAAGUCGAACGGAAAGGCCCUGCUUGCAGGGUACUCGAGUGGCGAACGGGUGAGUAACACGUGGGUGAUCUGCCCUGCACUUCGGGAUAAGCCUGGGAAACUGGGUCUAAUACCGGAUAGGAGCCAUUUUACGUGUGAUGGUUGGAAAGUUUUUUCGGUGUAGGAUGAGCUUGCGGCCUAUCAGCUUGUUGGUGGGGUAAUGGCCUACCAAGGCGGCGACGGGUAGCCGGCCUGAGAGGGUGGACGGCCACAUUGGGACUGAGGUACGGCCCAGACUCCUACGGGAGGCAGCAGUGGGGAAUAUUGCACCAUGGGCGCAAGCCUGAUGCAGAGACGCCGCGUGGGGGAUGACGGCCUUCGGGUUGUAAACACCUUUCGCUAGGGACGAAGCUUUUUGUGACGGUACCUAGAUAAGAAGCACCGGCUAACUACGUG
Molecule: ribosomal RNA, 465 nt
Filed under: uncultured bacterium
Lineage: Bacteria
Description: partial 16S ribosomal RNA
Rfam family: Bacterial small subunit ribosomal RNA
Source: RNAcentral